RNAcentral lists this unclassified non-coding RNA (861 nucleotides) under Hevea brasiliensis (rubber tree). The record is from RNAcentral. Lineage: Eukaryota; Viridiplantae; Streptophyta; Magnoliopsida; Malpighiales; Euphorbiaceae.
GAAGGAUGCAACUUGGGAGAUUUUGGUAUAAGCAAGAGAGAGCUCCUAUUUGCUUAUUUCCUGGCAGCAGCCAGCAUAUUUGAGCCAGAAAGGUCGAAAGAGAGGCUUGCAUGGGCUAAGACCACAAUCUUGCUUGAGACCAUCGACUCUUAUUUCGAUGACAACAAUAAUUCCAUUGAGCAGAGAAGAGCUUUUGUCCAAGAAUUUAAAAACGGGGAUGGUGCACGAGGACCUGCAAAUGGAAGGACAAUGGAAGCAAAGACAAGGCAGGAACUUGUCAGGACAGUGCUUGGAACCCUAAAUGAUGUCUCUUUGGACGCACUGGUGGCUUAUGGAAGAGACAUUAGCCACAGUUUACGUCAUGCUUGGGGAAAAUGGCUCCUUGAGUGGGAAGAGGAAGGAGUCAGGCACCAAGGAGAAGCAGAAUUGAUAGUGAAAACAAUAAAUCUGUCAGCUGGAAGAUGGAUCUCUGAGGAGCUUUUGAGCUAUCAUUCUCAAUAUGAAAAACUUUUUAAACUUACAAACAGAAUAUGCAACCAACUUGGACAUUACAGGAAGAACAAGGAAGAUGACAGCAAGAGAAGCACAACCCCAGAAAUAGAGGGUGACAUGCAAGAGCUGGUGAAGUUAGUGCUCCAAAAGUCCUCAGAAGGAAUGGAUUCUAACAUCAAGGAAACAUUUUUCACAGUGGUUAAGAGUUUUUACUACCCUGCCAUCUGUGAUCCUGGGACUAUCAGCUAUCACAUUUCUAAAGUACUCUUUGAAAAAGUGUGCUAAUUAAUUUAUUCAUCUUCUUUGUGCAAGAUCUAUGCGAUCAUUUCGUGCAUAUUCUUGUCAAUUAUUGCAAUGUAACUACGCCCC